GCUUGUGUGGUGGAACUGGUAUACACAUUAGACUUAAAAUCUAACGCCUUCGGGAUUGGGGGUUCGAAUCCCCCCACAAGCA
Molecule: transfer RNA, 82 nt
Filed under: Ishigurovirus osborne
Lineage: Duplodnaviria; Heunggongvirae; Uroviricota; Caudoviricetes; Pantevenvirales; Straboviridae
Also listed under: 1 other name
Description: Aeromonas phage 65 tRNA
Rfam family: tRNA
About the family: Transfer RNA (tRNA) molecules are approximately 80 nucleotides in length. Their secondary structure includes four short double-helical elements and three loops (D, anti-codon, and T loops).
Source: Rfam by way of RNAcentral